Molecule: transfer RNA, 81 nt
Filed under: Aeromonas phage AVP1
Lineage: Duplodnaviria; Heunggongvirae; Uroviricota; Caudoviricetes; Chimalliviridae
Description: tRNA-Leu
Rfam family: tRNA
About the family: Transfer RNA (tRNA) molecules are approximately 80 nucleotides in length. Their secondary structure includes four short double-helical elements and three loops (D, anti-codon, and T loops).
Source: RNAcentral
CUCCGAGUGGUGAAAUUGGUAGACACAAGGGAUUUAAAAUCCCUCGCCUAUGGCGUGACGGUUCGAUCCCGUCCUCGGAGA